This 915-nucleotide unclassified non-coding RNA is filed under the name Nilaparvata lugens (brown planthopper). Its description in RNAcentral is "uncharacterized LOC111047133, transcript variant X1". The record is from RNAcentral. Lineage: Eukaryota; Metazoa; Arthropoda; Insecta; Hemiptera; Delphacidae.
AGCUGUCCUGAUGAAGAAAAUGGCGACCCAGCGCUAUUUUCAGCGAAAUUGUCUGACUGUGUUUAUUGAAUACAAAGACUUGGGUUGGUUGUGUCAGGACUCUGAUGAGAAGUGUCUCACUCUAUCCAAACAGAACUUCAUUGCGCAACUGAUGAGACAGUUUCAGCGUUUCAUUACAUCAACUAAUCCUCAAUAUCUAGGUGAAGCAAGUGAGGAGACACAAGCAAGAGCUCUGCUCCUUCUGCUCAGAGUUGCCAACAGUGAUGCCCAGUUCUACUCUCAGUUUUUCUCGCGAGAACAAGAUGGUGUGCUAGCAUGCCAUCGCCAUGCAAAUCGGGCCUCCAUAUUCUCAAGAUGGCUGAAUUUCUGAUCGAACGUAACAGCUCGGUGACAAGAAAGAACGAAGACCCCUCCAUUACACCUCAUAAAUGGGAUACAAUGACCUUGUGCGCCUUCUCUACAACUGUGGAGCUGACAUCAACGCUAAAGAUAAGAUGAUACCAAAACAUAUUACACAGUGUAGAUGGACAGAUAGAAAGUGUGAACAUCAAAAGCCAUCGUGUGUGUUACCCAGUUUCCAUUCUGCAUCUAACAAUAGUAACCGAACAUCCAACAUCAUAACUUUAUUAUAUCAUCUAGUUAAUUUUGAUAUCACAUUAACUAAAAAGCUUUCCUCAUAAUAUACAAGAAAUUAAUACAUUGCCGAGAUUGUCAAAGAUGUGAAUUUUCAAUGUGCUUUGAUGCAAAUUAUUGCAAAAAACUAAUAUCAUGUUUAGCUAUGCAUAAAUUAAUAGGCAUGAUGGCCAUUCUUUACUGAAUCGAAAUAAGCUGUUAUAACUUUGUCAACUAUUAAUUUGGUUUUCAAUAAACUAGUUAUGAUCAGAUGCCUUAUUAAUAAAUGCAAAAUUCAUGUAG